GACGAACGCUGGCGACGUGCUUAACACAUGCAAGUCGAACGGAAAGGCCCUGCUUUUGUGGGGUGCUCGAGUGGCGAACGGGUGAGUAACAGUUAGUUACCCUUCCCUUGCCUUUGGGAUAACUUCAGGAAACUGGGGCUAAUACCGGAUAGUACCUCCUGCUGCUUGUUGGGGGUUGGAAAUUUUCGGCGGUUGGGGUUGGACUCGCGGCUUAUCAGCUUGUUGGUGGGGUAGUGGCUUACCAAGGCUUUGACGGGUAGCCGGCCUGAGAGGGUGACCGGCCACAUUGGGACUGAGAUACGGCCCAGACUCCUACGGGAGGCAGCAGUGGGGAAUAUUGCACAAUGGGCGGAAGCCUGAUGCAGCAACGCCGCGUGCGGGAUGACGGCCUUCGGGUUGUAAACCGCUUUCGCCUGUGACGAAGCGUGAGUGACGGUAAUGGGUAAAGAAGCACCGGCUAACUACGUG
RNAcentral lists this ribosomal RNA (468 nucleotides) under uncultured bacterium. Its description in RNAcentral is "partial 16S ribosomal RNA". It matches the Rfam family "Bacterial small subunit ribosomal RNA", at positions 28 to 507 of the family's 1533-position model. The record is from RNAcentral.